Molecule: ribosomal RNA, 478 nt
Filed under: uncultured bacterium
Lineage: Bacteria
Description: partial 16S ribosomal RNA
Rfam family: Bacterial small subunit ribosomal RNA
Source: RNAcentral
GACGAACGCUGGUGGCGUGCUUAACACAUGCAAGUCGAACGGUAAGGCCCUUCGGGGUACACGAGUGGCGAACGGGUGAGUAACACGUGGGUGAUCUGCCCUGCACUUCGGGAUAAGCCUGGGAAACUGGGUCUAAUACCGGAUAGGACCUCUGCCCGCAUGGGUGGUGGUGGAAAGCUUUUGCGGUGUGGGAUGGGCCCGCGGCCUAUCAGCUUGGUGGUGGGGUAAUGGCCUACCAAGGCGACGACGGGUGGCCGGCCUGAGAGGGUGACCGGUCACAGUGGGACUGAGAUACGGCCCAGACUCCUACGGGAGGCAGCAGUGGGGAAUAUUGCACAAUGGGCGCAAGCCUGAUGUAGCGACGCCGCGUGAGGGAUGACGGCCUUCGGGUUGUAAACCUCUUUCAGCUAUGACGAAGCGCAAGUGACGGUAGUAGCAGAAGAAGGACCGGCCAACUACGUGCCAGCCGCCGCCGUAG